Molecule: ribosomal RNA, 471 nt
Filed under: uncultured bacterium
Lineage: Bacteria
Description: bacterial SSU rRNA
Rfam family: Bacterial small subunit ribosomal RNA
Source: RNAcentral
AAUAAACGUUGGCGGCGUGCUUAACACAUGCAAGUCGAGCGAGAAAGGCCUUCGGGCUGAGUAGAGCGGCAGACGGGUGAGUAACACGUGGGAAUUUGCCUUUUAGUGGAGAAUACCCCCGAGAAAUUGGGGUUAAUACUGCAUAAGUCUCGAAAGAGAGAAAGAUGGCCUCUUGCUGUCGCUAGAAGAUAAGCCCGCGGACUAUUAGCUUGUUGGUGGGGUAAUGGCCUACCAAGGCGAUGAUGGUUAGCCGGCCUGAGAGGGUGUACGGCCACACUGGAACUUAGACACGGUCCAGACUCCUACGGGAGGCAGCAGUGAGGAAUAUUGCGCAAUGGGCGAAAGCCUGACACAGCGACGCCGCGUGGAGGAUGAAGGUCUUCGGGAUCGUAAACUUCUGUUAAGUGGGAAGAAAGGCAAAGCUCUAAAUACAGCUUUGAAAUGACGGUACCACUAGAGAAAGCACCGGCU